GACGAACGCUGGCGGCGUGCUUAACACAUGCAAGUCGAACGAAGAGCGAUGGAAGCUUGCUUCUAUCAAUCUUAGUGGCGAACGGGUGAGUAACGCGUAAUCAACCUGCCCUUCAGAGGGGGACAACAGUUGGAAACGACUGCUAAUACCGCAUACGAUCUAAUCUCGGCAUCGAGGAUAGAUGAAAGGCGGCCUCUACAUGUAAGCUAUCACUGAAGGAGGGGAUUGCGUCUGAUUAACUAGUUGGAGGGGUAACGGCCCACCAAGGCGAUGAUCAGUAGCCGGACUGAGAGGAUGAACGGCCACAUUGGGACUGAGACACGGCCCAGCAUCCUACGGGAGGCAGCAGUGGGGAAUCUUCCGCAAUGGACGAAAGUCUGACGGAGCAACGCCGCGUGAGUGAUGACGGCCUUCGGGUUGUAAAGCUCUGUUAAUCGGGACGAAAGGCCUUCUUGCGAAUAGUGAGAAGGAUUGACGGUACCGGAAGAGAAAGCCACGGCUAACUACGUG
Molecule: ribosomal RNA, 510 nt
Filed under: uncultured bacterium
Lineage: Bacteria
Description: partial 16S ribosomal RNA
Rfam family: Bacterial small subunit ribosomal RNA
Source: RNAcentral